RNAcentral lists this ribosomal RNA (491 nucleotides) under uncultured bacterium. Its description in RNAcentral is "bacterial SSU rRNA". It matches the Rfam family "Bacterial small subunit ribosomal RNA", at positions 30 to 514 of the family's 1533-position model. The record is from RNAcentral.
AUUAAACGCUGGCGGCAUGCCUUACACAUGCAAGUCGAACGGCAGCACGGGGUGGUAACACUCUGGUGGCGAGUGGCGGACGGGUGAGUAAAGCAUCGGAACGUGCCCUGGAAUGGGGGAUAACGUAGCGAAAGUUACGCUAAUACCGCAUAUUCUGUGAGCAGGAAAGCAGGGGAUCGCAAGACCUUGCGUUCGAGGAGCGGCCGAUGUCGGAUUAGCUAGUUGGUGGGGUAAAGGCCUACCAAGGCGACGAUCCGUAGCGGGUCUGAGAGGAUGAUCCGCCACACUGGGACUGAGACACGGCCCAGACUCCUACGGGAGGCAGCAGUGGGGAAUUUUGGACAAUGGAGGGAACUCUGAACCAGCCAUCCCGCGUGCAGGAUGAAGGGGCUCUGCCCUGUAAACUGCUUUUGAAUGGGACGAAAAAAGCCUCACUUGUGAGGAACUGACGGUACCAUUAGAAUAAGCACCGGCUAACUCCGUGCCAGCAG